GGACAUGGGCUGGUAGAGGGAGGUUGGUAAUGGGCCUAAGCAGGGACAUGGGCUGGUGGAGGGACUAAGCAGGGACAUGGGCUGGUAGAGUGAGCUGGUAGAGGGACUAAGCAGGGACAUGGGCUGGUAGAGUGAGCUGGUAGAGGGACUAAGCAGUAGGGAUGGGUAUCGUUAAGAUUUUAAUGGUAUUACUACUCUUACCGAUACUGCUUAUCGAUCCGGUACUUUAAUGCUAUUCUUAUUAUUUUUACGGGAAAAAAUAAAAACAAAUUAAGAAAAGAUAUAUCUCUACCAAUACCAUAGCAUUGUUUUAUUUUCUGAAAUGUCAAAUAAAAAAAAUAAAAAAAUAAAUAAUAUUUACAGCAAAAGAAAAAGCAAUGUUUUGAACAAAUCACUAUUAGAGACUAAUGUUGUGGUGAUGGAAAUGUCAAACAAAUGAAAUUUUCCUGCAGAAGAUAAGACAGUGGUAUAGGGCAACACAGGUGGGGCCUGCAGGUAGGUGCAGAAGAUAAGACAGUGGUAUAGAACAACACAGGUGGGGCCUGCAGGUAGGCUGCAGAAGAUAAGACAGUGGUAUAGGGCAACACAGGUGGGGCCUGCAGGUAGGUGCAGAAGAUAAGACAGUGGUAUAGGGCAACACAGGUGGGGCCUGCAGGUAGGCUGCAGAAGAUAAGACAGUGGUAUAGAGCAACACAGGUGGGGCCUGCAGGUAGGCUGCAGAAGAUAAGACAGUGGUAUAGAGCAACACAGGUGGGGCCUGCAGGUAGGCUGCAGAAGAUAAGACAGUGGUAUAGGGCAACACAGGUGGGGCCUGCAGGUAGGUGCAGAAGAUAAGACAGUGGUAUAGGGCAACACAGGUGGGGCCUGCAGGUAGGCUGCAGAAGAUAAGACAGUGGUAUAGGGCAACACAGGUGGGGCCUGCAGGUAGGCUGCAGAAGAUAAGACAGUGGUAUAGAGCAACACAGGUGGGGCCUGCAGGUAGGCUGCAGAAGAUAAGACAGUGGUAUAGGGCAACACAGGUGGGGCCUGCAGGUAGGCUGCAGAAGAUAAGACAGUGGUAUAGAGCAACACUUGUGGGGCCUGCAGGUAGGCUGCAGAAGAUAAGACAGUGGUAUAGAGCAACACAGGUGGGGCCUGCAGGUAGGCUGCAGAAGAUAAGACAGUGGUAUAGGGCAACACAGGUGGGGCCUGCAGGUAGGUGCAGAAGAUAAGACAGUGGUAUAG
Oncorhynchus keta (chum salmon) is the source of this 1224-nucleotide long non-coding RNA. RefSeq lists it as uncharacterized. NCBI's taxonomy places the organism in Eukaryota, Metazoa, Chordata, Actinopteri, Salmoniformes, Salmonidae. The record is from RefSeq and is a predicted model, not a curated record. The transcript is spliced from 3 exons.